Molecule: ribosomal RNA, 253 nt
Filed under: uncultured bacterium
Lineage: Bacteria
Description: partial 16S ribosomal RNA
Rfam family: Bacterial small subunit ribosomal RNA
Source: RNAcentral
UACGUAGGCAGCAAGCGUUGUUCGGAAUUACUGGGCGUAAAGAGUGUGUAGGCGGUGCUCUAAGUUCGGUGUGAAAUCUCCCGGCUUAACUGGGAGGGUGCGCCGGAAACUGGAGUGCUUGAGCGCAGGAGAGGAAAGCGGAAUUCCUGGUGUAGCGGUGAAAUGCGUAGAUAUCAGGAGGAACACCUGUGGUGUAGACGGCUUUCUGGACCGUAGCUGACGCUGAGACACGAAAGCGUGGGUAGCAAACAGG